RNAcentral lists this ribosomal RNA (446 nucleotides) under uncultured bacterium. RNAcentral's name for it is "bacterial SSU rRNA". It matches the Rfam family "Bacterial small subunit ribosomal RNA", at positions 80 to 507 of the family's 1533-position model. The record is from RNAcentral.
ACGCUUGUGGAAUGAGCGGCGGACGGGUGAGUAACACGUGGGCAACCUACCUUCGUAGACUGGGAUAACUCCGGGAAACCGGAGCUAAUACGGGAUGAUCAUUUGAAUCGCAUGAUUGAAAUGUAAAAGUGGGGAGUAAUCCUCACACUAUGAGAUGGGCCCGCGGCGCAUUAGCUAGUUGGUAAGGUAAUGGCUUACCAAGGCAACGAUGCGUAGCCGACCUGAGAGGGUGAUCGGCCACACUGGAACUGAGACACGGUCCAGACUCCUACGGGAGGCAGCAGUAGGGAAUCAUCCGCAAUGGGCGAAAGCCUGACGGUGCAACGCCGCGUGAACGAUGAAGGUUUUUCGGAUCGUAAAGUUCUGUUAUGAGGGAAGAACAAGUGCCGUUCGAAUAGGGCGGCACCUUGACGGUACCUCACGAGAAAGCCCCGGCUAACUACGUG